RNAcentral lists this ribosomal RNA (496 nucleotides) under uncultured bacterium. RNAcentral's name for it is "partial 16S ribosomal RNA". It matches the Rfam family "Bacterial small subunit ribosomal RNA", at positions 28 to 506 of the family's 1533-position model. The record is from RNAcentral.
GAUGAACGCUGGCGGCGUGCCUAAUACAUGCAAGUCGAGCGAACAGACGAGGAGCUUGCUCCUCUGACGUUAGCGGCGGACGGGUGAGUAACACGUGGAUAACCUACCUAUAAGACUGGGAUAACUUCGGGAAACCGGAGCUAAUACCGGAUAAUAUAUUGAACCGCAUGGUUCAAUAGUGAAAGACGGUUUUGCUGUCACUUAUAGAUGGAUCCGCGCCGCAUUAGCUAGUUGGUAAGGUAACGGCUUACCAAGGCGACGAUGCGUAGCCGACCUGAGAGGGUGAUCGGCCACACUGGAACUGAGACACGGUCCAGACUCCUACGGGAGGCAGCAGUAGGGAAUCUUCCGCAAUGGGCGAAAGCCUGACGGAGCAACGCCGCGUGAGUGAUGAAGGUCUUCGGAUCGUAAAACGCUGUUAUUAGGGAAGAACAAAUGUGUAAGUAACUAUGCACGUCUUGACGGUACCUAAUCAGAAAGCCACGGCUAACUACGC